This 72-nucleotide transfer RNA is filed under the name Camelus bactrianus (Bactrian camel). It matches the Rfam family "tRNA". From Rfam's summary of the family: Transfer RNA (tRNA) molecules are approximately 80 nucleotides in length. RNAcentral also lists the same sequence under 2 other names. Lineage: Eukaryota; Metazoa; Chordata; Mammalia; Artiodactyla; Camelidae. The record is from Rfam by way of RNAcentral.
GAGGGUAUAGCUCAGAGGUAGAGUGCAUGCUUAGCAUGCAUGAGGUCCGGGGUUCCAUCCCCAGUACCUCCA